This 82-nucleotide transfer RNA is filed under the name Phycisphaerales bacterium. RNAcentral describes it as "tRNA-Leu". It matches the Rfam family "tRNA". From Rfam's summary of the family: Transfer RNA (tRNA) molecules are approximately 80 nucleotides in length. Their secondary structure includes four short double-helical elements and three loops (D, anti-codon, and T loops). The record is from RNAcentral. Lineage: Bacteria; Pseudomonadati; Planctomycetota; Phycisphaerae; Phycisphaerales.
GCGGACGUGGCGGAAUUGGCAGACGCGCAGGAUUUAGGUUCCUGUGCCGAAAGGCGUGCGGGUUCGACUCCCGCCGUCCGCA